Molecule: ribosomal RNA, 253 nt
Filed under: uncultured bacterium
Lineage: Bacteria
Description: partial 16S ribosomal RNA
Rfam family: Bacterial small subunit ribosomal RNA
Source: RNAcentral
UACGAAGGGGGCUAGCGUUGCUCGGAAUUACUGGGCGUAAAGGGAGCGUAGGCGGAUAGUUUAGUCAGAGGUGAAAGCCCAGGGCUCAACCCUGGAAUUGCCUUUGAUACUGGCUAUCUUGAGUACGGGAGAGGUGUGUGGAACUCCGAGUGUAGAGGUGAAAUUCGUAGAUAUUCGGAAGAACACCAGUGGCGAAGGCGACACACUGGCCCGUUACUGACGCUGAGGCUCGAAAGCGUGGGGAGCAAACAGG